GAUUUCAUCAGGCCUACUGUACAGAUUUCAUCAGGCCUACUUACAGUAUGUUGUCACUGUUGAUCUGAUAACACCUUGGUCCAAUCGUCAUUAGGAAAGUGCUGCAAGUAGUGUUUUCUAACGAAAGUUAUACCUUCAUCACAGCAUCCGUGAAUAUAUACUGCAAGGACCAAUGGGAAGUGCUGGGUCAAUGCUGUUGCCAGAAGAGGUAGUAAAUAUUGUAAAAUGGAGGAUUUAUCUUGGUCUGAAUAACUAAACGUGGAUGGAGGCGAGAAGGGCCUCAGAAGAUCAGCCUGCCAGCCACACAGUUCCCUGCCCACUGGGAUUUUCCGCUGGCUCUCUCCCACAGCCCAGCCCUGGCCCGAACAUACCCAACCGGCAGGCCGCUGGCUGGGGAAGUGAAAGGGUAGUGGAGUGGCACAUGAUAUGCCCCCUGCCAUAUGGACACAGACUGAGCCCCACAGAUCAGCUUUGUAAGAACAUCUGCUCCCUUUGGUCUGGAGCCAUCAGUACCAGGAAUUCUCGAAAAGUGGAAAGAGGCUGUGGUGCAGAUGGCAAAUGUAAUGGCAGAUUUCAGGGAAACAAGUAGCUACACUUUACAUUUGAUACAGUUAAAACUAUUUCAAAAAUAAAUAAAA
Molecule: non-coding RNA, 638 nt
Organism: Oncorhynchus mykiss (rainbow trout)
Lineage: Eukaryota; Metazoa; Chordata; Actinopteri; Salmoniformes; Salmonidae
Source: RefSeq, a predicted model, not a curated record